This 484-nucleotide ribosomal RNA is filed under the name uncultured bacterium. Its description in RNAcentral is "partial 16S ribosomal RNA". It matches the Rfam family "Bacterial small subunit ribosomal RNA", at positions 30 to 507 of the family's 1533-position model. The record is from RNAcentral.
AUUGAACGCUGGCGGCAGGCCUAACACAUGCAAGUCGAGCGGAUGAAGGGAGCUUGCUCCUGGAUUCAGCGGCGGACGGGUGAGUAAUGCCUAGGAAUCUGCCUGGUAGUGGGGGAUAACGUCCGGAAACGGGCGCUAAUACCGCAUACGUCCUGAGGGAGAAAGUGGGGGAUCUUCGGACCUCACGCUAUCAGAUGAGCCUAGGUCGGAUUAGCUAGCUGGUGGGGUAAAGGCCUACCAAGGCGACGAUCCGUAACUGGUCUGAGAGGAUGAUCAGUCACACUGGAACUGAGACACUGUCCAGACUCCUACGGGAGGCAGCAGUGGGGAAUAUUGGACAAUGGGCGAAAGCCUGAUCCAGACAUGCCGCGUGUGUGAAGAAGGUCUUCGGAUUGUAAAGCACUUUAAGUUGGGAGGAAGGGCAGUAAGUUAAUACCUUGCUGUUUUAACGUUACCAACAGAAUAAGCACCGGCUAACUUCGUG